This 375-nucleotide long non-coding RNA is filed under the name Mytilus galloprovincialis (Mediterranean mussel). The record is from RNAcentral. Lineage: Eukaryota; Metazoa; Mollusca; Bivalvia; Mytilida; Mytilidae.
GUUGUGUUUCUCGGUUAGCUAAAUAGUAAAGAUUUUAUUACUACGUGAAUUAAAAUUUGAAUCUCCUGCGACAUACAAUUUGGAAUUCUUUUCUAACUUAUGGUUUUGUACAAUAGUUAUACAUAUUAUUUCGUUCCUUGUAUAUUUAAUAGUACUAUAUUUACGUAUGGGCACGGGCAUUUCGUUAAGCGGGUACUCGAUGUACCGAAUCUAAAAAGUAUUCACAGUUAAAUAACAAUGCAUGUAUGAUGAUACACGAAAGCGAAGUUCAAGAUUAAACAUAUAUUACAAACUAAAUUUAAACAAAUUAUGAACUCAUAUUUCAAUUCCUUUUUGUAUAAAAUUUCAGGUUCAUUAUAAUGAAAAAAAAAAAAU